AUGUGUGGAUGCUUUUAUUGAAGUGGGGAAAGAAUUUGGUGUCAUUAACUAAGUGUCCUUUUUUUUUUUUUUUUAAUUUUUAAAAAAAAAAAAAAAAAAAAAAAAA
This 106-nucleotide non-coding RNA is filed under the name Paramoeba aestuarina. Lineage: Eukaryota; Discosea; Flabellinia; Dactylopodida; Paramoebidae. The record is from RNAcentral.